GGUUUGGGGUUAGUCGCACGAGCGCACCCUUAUCCUUUGUUGCCAGCACAGUAAAGGUGGGAACUCAAGGGAGACUGCCGUCGACAAAACGGAGGAAGGCGGGGAUGACGUCAAGUCAUCAUGCCCCUUAUGUCCUGGGCUACACACGUACUACAAUGGGCUUAAACAAAGCGAAGCAAGCCCGCGAGGGUAAGCCAAACGCAUAAACAAGCUCUCAGUUCGGAUCGGAGGCUGCAACUCGCCUCCGUGAAGUCGGAAUCGCUAGUAAUCGCAGGUCAGCAUACUGCGGUGAAUACGUUCCCGGGCCUUGUACACACCGCCCGUGGGGCGGGGGCGGCGGGCCGGGCGCG
Molecule: ribosomal RNA, 350 nt
Filed under: uncultured Sporomusa sp.
Lineage: Bacteria; Bacillati; Bacillota; Negativicutes; Selenomonadales; Sporomusaceae
Description: bacterial SSU rRNA
Rfam family: Bacterial small subunit ribosomal RNA
Source: RNAcentral